RNAcentral lists this ribosomal RNA (617 nucleotides) under uncultured bacterium. RNAcentral describes it as "bacterial SSU rRNA". It matches the Rfam family "Bacterial small subunit ribosomal RNA", at positions 288 to 916 of the family's 1533-position model. The record is from RNAcentral.
GGUCCUGAGAGGGAGAUCCCCCACACUGGUACUGAGACACGGACCAGACUCCUACGGGAGGCAGCAGUGAGGAAUAUUGGACAAUGGGCGGAAGCCUGAUCCAGCAACGCCGCGUGAGGGAUGACGGCCUUCGGGUUGUAAACCUCUUUCACCUGUGACGAAGCGAAAGUGACGGUAGCGGGAGAAGAAGCACCGGCCAACUACGUGCCAGCAGCCGCGGUAAUACGUAGGGUGCGAGCGUUGUCCGGAAUUAUUGGGCGUAAAGGGCUCGUAGGCGGUUUGUCGCGUCGGGAGUGAAAACACCGGGCUUAACUCGGUGCUUGCUUUCGAUACGGGCAGACUAGAGGUAUGCAGGGGAGAACGGAAUUCCUGGUGUAGCGGUGAAAUGCGCAGAUAUCAGGAGGAACACCGGUGGCGAAGGCGGUUCUCUGGGCAUUACCUGACGCUGAGGAGCGAAAGUGUGGGGAGCGAACAGGAUUAGAUACCCUGGUAGUCCACACCGUAAACGUUGGGCGCUAGGUGUGGGGCCUAUUCCAUGGGUUCCGUGCCGCAGCUAACGCAUUAAGCGCCCCGCCUGGGGAGUACGGCCGCAAGGCUAAAACUCAAAGGAUUGACGG